GACAGAGGGUGCAACCGUUGCUCGGAAUCACUGGGCGUAAAGGGCGUGUAGGCGGGAAUGUAAGUCGGGCGUGAAAGCCCCAGGCUCAACCUGGGAACUGCACUCGAAACUGCGUUUCUUGAGUAUCGGAGAGGAAAGCGGAAUACCUGGUGUAGAGGUGAAAUUCGUAGAUAUCAGGUGGAACACCAGUGGCGAAGGCGGCUUUCUGGACGAUUACUGACGCUGAGACGCGAAAGCGUGGGGAGCAAACGGG
RNAcentral lists this ribosomal RNA (253 nucleotides) under uncultured bacterium. RNAcentral's name for it is "partial 16S ribosomal RNA". It matches the Rfam family "Bacterial small subunit ribosomal RNA", at positions 524 to 776 of the family's 1533-position model. The record is from RNAcentral.